RNAcentral lists this ribosomal RNA (269 nucleotides) under uncultured prokaryote. RNAcentral's name for it is "partial 16S ribosomal RNA". It matches the Rfam family "Bacterial small subunit ribosomal RNA", at positions 524 to 792 of the family's 1533-position model. The record is from RNAcentral.
GACGGAGGGGGCAAGCGUUGUCCGGAUUUAUUGGGCGUGAAGCGCGCGUAGGCGGUCCGUUAAGUCGGCUGUGAAAGUGCUGGGCUCAACCCAGCAAUGUCAGUCGAUACUGGCGGACUCGAGUCCGAUAGAGGGAAGUGGAAUUGCUGGUGUAGCGGUGGAAUGCGUAGAGAUCAGCAAGAACACCAGUGGCGAAGGCGGCUUCCUGGGUCGGUACUGACGCUGAGGCGCGAAAGCUAGGGGAGCGAACCGGAUUAGAUACCCCCGUA